This is a long non-coding RNA of Corythoichthys intestinalis (scribbled pipefish), 982 nucleotides long. RefSeq lists it as uncharacterized. NCBI's taxonomy places the organism in Eukaryota, Metazoa, Chordata, Actinopteri, Syngnathiformes, Syngnathidae. The record is from RefSeq and is a predicted model, not a curated record. The transcript has 3 exons.
CUCCAAACUCUACUAUGGGCAAGAACCAAAGAGCUGUCAAAGGACACCAGAGACAAAAUUGUAGACCUGCACCAGGCUGGGAAGACUGAAUCUGCACUAGUGUAUACUGUCAAUGUUGAAGCCACCUUGAAGAGGAUGUAGUCGAUCCUGAUUCCUUUCUCGAAGGGAGCGAUCACCUUUUGACUGAUGAAAGGAUUUUCAAGUAUGAGAGUCCUGAGGGUGCAUGUUGAGGUCGCCACCAAGGACCACUGCGUCGGCGCCGGCGGACGUGUGUCUGGACACACGACAUUCUGAUAAACUUCACCACACUUGAUAAUUAGGGAUUGGAAGAUGGGACUGUACCGGAUAAAUUGCUGUAGUUCCCAGGCUUGAACAACCCUGUGAGGCAAAUAAGCAUCUUUCUCCCGGGAAUACUCGGCGUGUAACUGCAAUGACAGAUGUCUGUUAACUCACCUGACGCUGGCGUACAUUCAGACAUUAUGGUGCCACCUACGUGAGUCAGAUAGAAGUUUGCAGUCAAUGUGCCAAUGUUCACGACAGCCAGACCCACAGCUUUGCCUCCAAACCAGUCGCCAUGGUGAGCCUGUGAAUGAUUAGACUUUUAAAACCUGAGGGGUCUGUCACACUGAAUUGCAAAUACACAGUAUACGCAUAAUUAAAAUAAUAAUUGAAACAAAUUUAUGGCAUCAAAAGAUGCACCAAUUGCUGAGGUGGAAAAGGGAAAACGAGGGUAGAUGAGGGGAAAAAACACUUAGGCCUUGGUUUAUGGAGCUAUGUACGUAUAUUUAAUGUAAACACAAUGUGAAUAAUUAAAUUCACAUGGAAUCAAGAGCGCGUGCCGAUUGCUUAAGUGGAAAAGGAAAACGAGGGAGGAUGAGAGAAAAAAACACUCAGAUCCUGGGGUCUUGUGUUGCAUAUAUACAGUAUAUACAGAAUGUGAAUAAUAAUUUUAAACAAAUUAUACGGCAAUACUCAGCAACGA